This 77-nucleotide transfer RNA is filed under the name Acidobacteriota bacterium. Its description in RNAcentral is "Acidobacteria bacterium tRNA-Arg". It matches the Rfam family "tRNA". Rfam says of the family: Transfer RNA (tRNA) molecules are approximately 80 nucleotides in length. Their secondary structure includes four short double-helical elements and three loops (D, anti-codon, and T loops). RNAcentral also lists the same sequence under 2 other names. Lineage: Bacteria; Pseudomonadati; Acidobacteriota. The record is from RNAcentral.
GCGCCCUUAGCUCAGCUGGAUAGAGCGACAGACUACGAAUCUGUAGGUCGGAGGUUCGAAUCCCCCAGGGCGCGCCA